UUUCGCAAUGCCCGAAAGGGUGACGAAGCGACGCCGCGUGAGUGAGGAAGGCCUUCGGGUUGUAAAGCACUGCCAGGAGUUAAGAAAUAUAAGUGUGCUAAUACCACAUUUAUUUGACGAAGGCUCCAAAGGAAGCCACGGCUAACUCUGUGCCAGCAGCCGCGGUAAUACAGAGGUGGCAAGCGUUGUUCGGAAUUAUUGGGCGUAAAGAGCACGUAGGUGGGUUUGUAAGUCAGAUGUGAAAGCCUUCUGUUCAACGGAAGAAUUGCAUCUGAAACUGCGAGUCUUGAGUGUAGGAGGGGAGAAUGGAACUUCUGGUGGAGCGGUGAAAUGCGUAGAUAUCAGAAGGAACGCCGGCGGCGAAAGCGAUUCUCUGGCCUAUUACUGACACUCAGUGUGCGAAAGCUAGGGGAGCAAACGGGAUUAGAUACCCCGGUAGUCCUAGCCGUAAACGAUGGGCACUAAGUAGAGGGGUUUUA
This 479-nucleotide ribosomal RNA is filed under the name uncultured anaerobic ammonium-oxidizing bacterium. RNAcentral's name for it is "bacterial SSU rRNA". It matches the Rfam family "Bacterial small subunit ribosomal RNA", at positions 364 to 833 of the family's 1533-position model. The record is from RNAcentral.